GCGCCGGUAACUUAGUUGGCGGAGCAGUGGGACGGUUCCCUACAGUCCCGGGUUCAAGUCCCGGCCGACGCU
Phthorimaea operculella (potato tuberworm) is the source of this 72-nucleotide non-coding RNA. Lineage: Eukaryota; Metazoa; Arthropoda; Insecta; Lepidoptera; Gelechiidae. The record is from the annotation of a GenBank genome assembly.